AGCUCCAGAAACAACUAGCGG
This 21-nucleotide microRNA is filed under the name Ananas comosus (pineapple). RNAcentral describes it as "microRNA s1062_c134a". The record is from RNAcentral. Lineage: Eukaryota; Viridiplantae; Streptophyta; Magnoliopsida; Poales; Bromeliaceae.